RNAcentral lists this ribosomal RNA (2868 nucleotides) under Pseudomonas aeruginosa. RNAcentral's name for it is "bacterial LSU rRNA". It matches the Rfam family "Bacterial large subunit ribosomal RNA". Lineage: Bacteria; Pseudomonadati; Pseudomonadota; Gammaproteobacteria; Pseudomonadales; Pseudomonadaceae. The record is from RNAcentral.
UCAAGUGAAGAAGCGCAUACGGUGGAUGCCUUGGCAGUCAGAGGCGAUGAAAGACGUGGUAGCCUGCGAAAAGCUUCGGGGAGUCGGCAAACAGACUUUGAUCCGGAGAUCUCUGAAUGGGGGAACCCACCUAGGAUAACCUAGGUAUCUUGUACUGAAUCCAUAGGUGCAAGAGGCGAACCAGGGGACUGAAACAUCUAAGUACCCUGAGGAAAAGAAAUCAACCGAGAUUCCCUUAGUAGUGGCGAGCGACGGGGAUUAGCCUUAAGCUUCAUUGAUUUUAGCGGAACGCUCUGGAAAGUGCGGCCAUAGUGGGUGAUAGCCCCGUACGCGAAAGGAUCUUUGAAGUGAAAUCGAGUAGGACGGAGCACGAGAAACUUUGUUCUGAACAUGGGGGACCAUCCUCCAAGGCUAAAUACUACUGACUGACCGAUAGUGAACCAGUACCGUGAGGGAAAGGCGAAAAGAACCCCGGAGAGGGGAGUGAAAUAGAACCUGAAACCGUAUGCGUACAAGCAGUGGGAGCCUACUUGUUAGGUGACUGCGUACCUUUUGUAUAAUGGGUCAGCGACUUAUAUUCAGUGCAAGCUUAACCGUAUAGGGUAGGCGUAGCGAAAGCGAGUCUUAAUAGGGCGUUUAGUCGCUGGGUAUAGACCCGAAACCGGGCGAUCUAUCCAUGAGCAGGUUGAAGGUUAGGUAACACUGACUGGAGGACCGAACCCACUCCCGUUGAAAAGGUAGGGGAUGACUUGUGGAUCGGAGUGAAAGGCUAAUCAAGCUCGGAGAUAGCUGGUUUCCUCGAAAGCUAUUUAGGUAGCGCCUCAUGUAUCACUCUGGGGGGUAGAGCACUGUUUCGGCUAGGGGGUCAUCCCGACUUACCAAACCGAUGCAAACUCCGAUACCAGAAGUGCCGAGCAUGGGAGACACACGGCGGGUGCUAACGUCCGUCGUGAAAAGGGAAACAACCCAGACCGCCAGCUAAGGUCCCAAAGUUGUGGUUAAGUGGUAAACGAUGUGGAAGGCUUAGACAGCUAGGAGGUUGGCUUAGAAACAGCCACCCUUUAAAGAAAGCGUAAUAGCUCACUAGUCGAGUCGGCCUGCGCGGAAGAUGUAACGGGGCUCAAACACACACCGAAGCUGCGGGUGUCACGUAAGUGACGCGGUAGAGGAGCGUUCUGUAAGCCUGUGAAGGUGAGUGAGAAGCUUGCUGGAGGUAUCAGAAGUGCGAAUGCUGACAUGAGUAACGACAAUGGGUGUGAAAAACACCCACGCCGAAAGACCAAGGGUUCCUGCGCAACGUUAAUCGACGCAGGGUUAGUCGGUUCCUAAGGCGAGGCUGAAAAGCGUAGUCGAUGGGAAACAGGUUAAUAUUCCUGUACUUCUGGUUACUGCGAUGGAGGACGGAGAAGGCUAGGCCAGCUUGGCGUUGGUUGUCCAAGUUUAAGGUGGUAGGCUGAAAUCUUAGGUAAAUCCGGGGUUUCAAGGCCGAGAGCUGAUGACGAGUCGUCUUUAGAUGACGAAGUGGUUGAUGCCAUGCUUCCAAGAAAAGCUUCUAGCUUCAGGUAACCAGGAACCGUACCCCAAAACCGACACAGGUGGUCGGGUAGAGAAUACCAAGGCGCUUGAGAGAACUCGGGUGAAGGAACUAGGCAAAAUGGCACCGUAACUUCGGGGAGUGCGCCGGCUAGGGUGAAGGAUUACUCCGUAAGCUCUGGCUGGUCGAAGAUACCAGGCCGCUGCGACUGUUUAUUAAAAACACAGCACUCUGCAAACACGAAAGUGGACGUAUAGGGUGUGACGCCUGCCCGGUGCCGGAAGGUUAAUUGAUGGGGUUAGCGCAAGCGAAGCUCUUGAUCGAAGCCCCGGUAAACGGCGGCCGUAACUAUAACGGUCCUAAGGUAGCGAAAUUCCUUGUCGGGUAAGUUCCGACCUGCACGAAUGGCGUAACGAUGGCGGCGCUGUCUCCACCCGAGACUCAGUGAAUUGAAAUCGCUGUGAAGAUGCAGUGUAUCCGCGGCUAGACGGAAAGACCCGUGAACCUUUACUGUAGCUUUGCACUGGACUUUGAGCCUGCUUGUGUAGGAUAGGUGGGAGGCUUUGAAGCGUGGACGCCAGUUCGCGUGGAGCCAUCCUUGAAAUACCACCCUGGCAUGCUUGAGGUUCUAACUCUGGUCCGUAAUCCGGAUCGAGGACAGUGUAUGGUGGGCAGUUUGACUGGGGCGGUCUCCUCCUAAAGAGUAACGGAGGAGUACGAAGGUGCGCUCAGACCGGUCGGAAAUCGGUCGUAGAGUAUAAAGGCAAAAGCGCGCUUGACUGCGAGACAGACACGUCGAGCAGGUACGAAAGUAGGUCUUAGUGAUCCGGUGGUUCUGUAUGGAAGGGCCAUCGCUCAACGGAUAAAAGGUACUCCGGGGAUAACAGGCUGAUACCGCCCAAGAGUUCAUAUCGACGGCGGUGUUUGGCACCUCGAUGUCGGCUCAUCACAUCCUGGGCUGAAGCCGGUCCCAAGGGUAUGGCUGUUCGCCAUUUAAAGUGGUACGCGAGCUGGGUUUAGAACGUCGUGAGACAGUUCGGUCCCUAUCUGCCGUGGACGUUUGAGAUUUGAGGGGGCUGCUCCUAGUACGAGAGGACCGGAGUGGACGAACCUCUGGUGUUCCGGUUGUCACGCCAGUGGCAUUGCCGGUAGCUAUGUUCGGAAAAGAUAACCGCUGAAAGCAUCUAAGCGGGAAACUUGCCUCAAGAUGAGAUCUCACUGGGAACUUGAUUCCCCUGAAGGGCCGUCGAAGACUACGACGUUGAUAGGCUGGGUGUGUAAGCGUUGUGAGGCGUUGAGCUAACCAGUACUAAUUGCCCGUGAGGCUUGACCAA